RNAcentral lists this transfer RNA (72 nucleotides) under Chloroflexota bacterium. RNAcentral describes it as "tRNA-Thr". It matches the Rfam family "tRNA". Rfam says of the family: Transfer RNA (tRNA) molecules are approximately 80 nucleotides in length. Their secondary structure includes four short double-helical elements and three loops (D, anti-codon, and T loops). Further hydrogen bonds mediate the characteristic L-shaped molecular structure. tRNAs have two regions of fundamental functional importance: the anti-codon, which is responsible for specific mRNA codon recognition, and the 3' end, to which the tRNAs corresponding amino acid is attached (by aminoacyl-tRNA synthetases). tRNAs cope with the degeneracy of the genetic code in two manners: having more than one tRNA (with a specific anti-codon) for a particular amino acid; and 'wobble' base-pairing, i.e. permitting non-standard base-pairing at the 3rd anti-codon position. The record is from RNAcentral. Lineage: Bacteria; Bacillati; Chloroflexota.
GCCGACGUAGCUCAAUGGCAGAGCAGCGGUUUUGUAAACCGCAGGUUAUGGGUUCGAAUCCCUUCGUCGGCU